AGAUUUGAAAUUAUCCUGUCCCUUGAUUGGUCCUCUGGUCAGGUGUUCAUCAGGUUACUGAGUUUGUUAACCCUUUACAGGUAAAAGAGACCUUAACCCUUAACUAUCUGUUUAUGACAGGCUAGAACUCAGAACUCCUGGUAGUGACUCCCAUCUAAGCAGGGGAGGGAGGGACUUCUUUUUAGUGCCCAUCACAUACUCAGUCCAGUGCUUAGACCACUUGAUACUCAGGUUACUAUAGAACUGAAAACUGAACUGAAUUCUAUUUUGGAGGGACAUAAUUCAGUGCUGUACUCCACCCCUUAUUAUUAAAGAUAGAGUUGGAACUAUGUGCUUUCAGUGGAGUUAAGUAUCAGCUGUUUUUUGCUAGAUUUGAAACUCACUCGGACUAAGCACUGUGGUGCUGUAAUACCCUUAACCUUUUAAUUGAUUCAGAUUUUUUUAUGUCAAUGAAUCAGAGGUGUCAGGAGUGAGGCAACCUUUUCAGACCAGCUGCAUGGCUUCCUGGGAUGAUGUGCAUUUCUGCUAACAGACAGGUGUUGGUCUGCAAGAGAGAUUCUGUUCUUGCCUCAUGUAGGCUCAGACACUAUCCAGAGACCUCCUGAGGAUUUAGCCAAUGAGGAACUUUUUCUACCGCCACAGCAACAGAAGAAAACAACAGAGAGCCAUGCACAGUACCUGGCAGGGAGAGUAAUGAGAGAUGAAAUCUCUGGGAUCCCUCGCAUGCUGGAUAGGAUUGUCUCCAGGUGCUCAAUAUGGUCCACACUGAAUUCCACUCGAUGAGGAAACUGAAGCACUGAGAUGUGAAGUGACUUGUCCCAGGUCACAAAAUGAGUCAAUGGCAGAGAAAGAAUUGGAACCCACUUCUCCUGACUCCAACAGUGGUCUCCCAAGCCAUGCUGUCUCCAAUGGACUGACUCUGU
Long non-coding RNA from Mauremys mutica (yellowpond turtle), 923 nucleotides. RefSeq lists it as uncharacterized. The transcript is spliced from 4 exons. NCBI's taxonomy places the organism in Eukaryota, Metazoa, Chordata, Testudines, Geoemydidae. The record is from RefSeq and is a predicted model, not a curated record.